AUUGAACGCUGGCGGCAUGCUUUACACAUGCGGUCGAACGGUAACAGGCCUUCGGGUGCUGACGAGUGGCGAACGGGUGAGUAAUGCAUCGGAACGUACCCAGAGGUGGGGGAUAACGCAGCGAAAGCUGUGCUAAUACCGCAUGUGAUCUGAGGAUGAAAGCGGGGGACCGAGCAGCAAUGUUUGGCCUCGCGCCUUUGGAGCGGCCGAUGUCGGAUUAGCUAGUUGGUGGGGUAAAGGCCUACCAAGGCGACGAUCCGUAGCUGGUCUGAGAGGACGACCAGCCACACUGGGACUGAGACACGGCCCAGACUCCUACGGGAGGCAGCAGUGGGGAAUUUUGGACAAUGGGCGCAAGCCUGAUCCAGCAAUGCCGCGUGCGGGAAGAAGGCCUUCGGGUUGUAAACCGCUUUUGGCAGGAACGAAACGGUGUCCGCUAAUACCGGGCGCUAAUGACGGUACCUGCAGAAUAAGCACCGGCUAACUACGUG
Molecule: ribosomal RNA, 491 nt
Filed under: uncultured bacterium
Lineage: Bacteria
Description: partial 16S ribosomal RNA
Rfam family: Bacterial small subunit ribosomal RNA
Source: RNAcentral